RNAcentral lists this unclassified non-coding RNA (416 nucleotides) under Hevea brasiliensis (rubber tree). Lineage: Eukaryota; Viridiplantae; Streptophyta; Magnoliopsida; Malpighiales; Euphorbiaceae. The record is from RNAcentral.
UACCAAAUUCAUCCGCCUGAAACAAAGACCAUACGAGUUUGUUGGUGAAGGAGUGAGCAGUUCUUACGGAUAAUAUUGAAGAGCACAGUUGAAUGAUAUGCAAAGCGGCGGUGGAGCUGCAAAAAUCUUCAAAAAGAGCUUUAUUUGGACCUUUGAGGCAUGACAUUUUUUACAAUCUCUUUACAAAAAAAUGAGUGUAAUGAAGCAACAUAUACCAUCCAAUUUCCUUUGCAAUGCAGAACUUGAGGUGGACGAUAUCAGCAACUUACCAGCCCAGAUUGUCGACAAGAUUCUGUCUCAUUUGUCACUUAGGGAUGCUGUGAGGACAAGUGUCUUGUCAAGUAAAUGGAGAAACAAAUGGGUUACUCUUCCAAACCUUGUAUUUGACAAUCAAUCUCUUUUGAUCUCAUCCCAAA